GAUGAACGCUAGCGGCAGGCCUAACACAUGCAAGUCGAGGGGUAGAACACUUCGGUGUUUGAGACCGGCGCACGGGUGCGUAACGCGUAUGCAAUCUGCCUUACACUAAGGGAUAGCCCAGAGAAAUUUGGAUUAAUACCUUAUAGUAUAUUGAUGUGGCAUCACAUUAUUAUUAAAGAUUUAUUGGUGUAAGAUGAGCAUGCGUCCCAUUAGCUAGUUGGUAUGGUAACGGCAUACCAAGGCAAUGAUGGGUAGGGGUCCUGAGAGGGAGAUCCCCCACACUGGUACUGAGACACGGACCAGACUCCUACGGGAGGCAGCAGUGAGGAAUAUUGGUCAAUGGGCGCAAGCCUGAACCAGCCAUGCCGCGUGCAGGAUGAAGCAUCUAUGGUGUGUAAACUGCUUUUGUACGGGAAGAAACACUCCUUCGUGAAGGAGCUUGACGGUACCGUAAGAAUAAGGAUCGGCUAACUCCGUG
This 478-nucleotide ribosomal RNA is filed under the name uncultured bacterium. Its description in RNAcentral is "bacterial SSU rRNA". It matches the Rfam family "Bacterial small subunit ribosomal RNA", at positions 28 to 507 of the family's 1533-position model. The record is from RNAcentral.